UGGUAAUCGAGGUUCCCCUCAAAACCAGAAGCUGGGACUCUGGGCGAAGGCAGAGCACCGCGGCCCAAGCAGACGGGUCGUGGCCGAUCCCAACCCCUUCCUGCGGGUGUGUGUGGCCCCUGGAGGGACGGAGAGUUCUGGUGGCCGUGCAGCCUCUGUUCACCUGUUCUCCAGAGGUGAUGAGAACAUCUCCAUCGCGGGCCACCACGGGCAGCCCAGGACUCCAACGUAACGGGGUGCAUCCCUGCAGCUCAGCGCUCGGCGCUUUUCUGGAGACAGCCGAGGAGCAUGCCACAUCCCAGCCACACUGUGGGGGUGAAGGGUGGGGUGACCGCCCAUGAGGAUUACGGCCAUCCCCCCAUCACUCAUGUUGCCAAGCCAUGACCAGGCGGCCAGGACUCAUGGGCGGUGUCUCCUCCGGGGCCAUGCUGGCAUCCGUAACCUCCAUACACCCUUGUGGUCCCAUCCAGCCAUCCCUGCCCGCCCGCCUGGCCCAGUCUGUCGUGAAGUUUCCGUCAGCCUUUCGCGUGUGCAUAGUCCCACCUCCCAGGGGUUCCGGCGCCCGUCGGAAGGGUUCUCCCGCUCAUUCCUGGCUAGGCAAGUUCAGAGGACCAUCAGCUUGAGGUUAUACUGUCGUUAAGGUAGGUGCGACGGGGGCCUGACCCACUUAAUCUCAGAGGCAGUCCAUGCUGUAAAACGCACAGGAACCACACCCAGGGCCUCCCCGGUCUCCUCGUGUGUGCAGAGCAAACGCCCCGAGGAAGAGACGCGAGGAACGCCCUUCCUCCUUGUUGCCAAGUUACCCCGAAUGUGUUCAUCCCUCUGCUGCAAGGAGAAGGCGGCAUGUUCUGGGAGGAUCGAGCGACCCUCUAAGAUACAGAGCAGAGACUUUGCACGGGCCAUCAGACGGUUCCGCAAACUCGUAGACACCCAUCUAACGUUAGUUACGCGGACACGCGGCGCAACGCAUCAGGCUCUUUCUCCAGGGCGUCAGGCGGGGAAGUUGCAUCGUGCAGUCCGGCCACCGCGAAGGACGUUGGGCGGUCUUUCCUCCGCUGUGUUUCGAUGAAAACUCGCGCGGGUCUCCAUGAAUGUCCGCGGCCGCGUGCCAGCCAGCAACAGCCACCCGCCCCGUCCCGUCCGUGUGCACCCCGGUGAGCAGACACGCUCUCCCUCAACGCGACCACCCUUCUCUUCCGCAGGUGUGAUGAAUGGCGCCUCUGUGUUGUUUUGUUAUAGCUUCCGCCUCCCCACGUGGAGAGGGGCAAUAAAGACAAAGCUGAGACAUUAUGGCUAUUCCAGAAAAUAAAAUAUUUUUGAAACCGC
This is a long non-coding RNA of Leopardus geoffroyi (Geoffroy's cat), 1326 nucleotides long. RefSeq lists it as uncharacterized. The transcript has 2 exons. The record is from RefSeq and is a predicted model, not a curated record. NCBI's taxonomy places the organism in Eukaryota, Metazoa, Chordata, Mammalia, Carnivora, Felidae.